AUACGGAGGGUGCAAGCGUUAUUCGGAAUCACUGGGCGUAAAGGACGCGUAGGCGGGUUGGCAAGUCAGAUGUGAAAUCCUACAGCUUAACUGUAGAACUGCAUUUGAAACUGCUAACCUAGAGUAUGGGAGGGGGAGAUGGAAUUAGUAGUGUAGGGGUAAAAUCCGUAGAUAUCACUAGGAAUACCGAAAGCGAAGGCGAUCUCCUGGAACAUAACUGACGCUAAGGCGUGAAAGCGUGGGGAGCAAACAGGAUUAGAAACCCUAGUAGUCC
RNAcentral lists this ribosomal RNA (274 nucleotides) under uncultured bacterium. RNAcentral describes it as "partial 16S ribosomal RNA". It matches the Rfam family "Bacterial small subunit ribosomal RNA", at positions 523 to 796 of the family's 1533-position model. The record is from RNAcentral.